This 66-nucleotide ribosomal RNA is filed under the name Halomonas campaniensis. Its description in RNAcentral is "partial 16S ribosomal RNA". It matches the Rfam family "Bacterial small subunit ribosomal RNA", at positions 1 to 64 of the family's 1533-position model. The record is from RNAcentral. Lineage: Bacteria; Pseudomonadati; Pseudomonadota; Gammaproteobacteria; Oceanospirillales; Halomonadaceae.
UUAAACUGAAGAGUUUGAUCAUGGCUCAGAUUGAACGCUGGCGGCAGGCCUAACACAUGCAAGUCG